This 70-nucleotide transfer RNA is filed under the name Eubacterium sp. Its description in RNAcentral is "tRNA-Gln". It matches the Rfam family "tRNA". Rfam says of the family: Transfer RNA (tRNA) molecules are approximately 80 nucleotides in length. RNAcentral also lists the same sequence under 1 other name. The record is from RNAcentral. Lineage: Bacteria; Bacillati; Bacillota; Clostridia; Eubacteriales; Eubacteriaceae.
GGCAGUUCGUUCAAUGGUAGGACACGGGCCUUUGAAUCCCGUAACACGGGUUCAAUUCCCGUACUGCCUG